UACGUAGGGGGCAAGCGUUGUCCGGAAUCAUUGGGCGUAAAGAGCGCGUAGGCGGUCCGAUAAGUCGGUUGUGAAAACUGGGGGCUCAACCCUCAGAGGCCGACCGAUACUGUCGGGCUAGAGUCCGGAAGAGGCGAGUGGAAUUCCUGGUGUAGCGGUGAAAUGCGCAGAUAUCGGGAGGAACACCUAUGGCGAAGGCAGCUCGCUGGGACGUUACUGACGCUGAGACGCGAAAGCGUGGGGAGCAAACAGG
Molecule: ribosomal RNA, 253 nt
Filed under: uncultured bacterium
Lineage: Bacteria
Description: partial 16S ribosomal RNA
Rfam family: Bacterial small subunit ribosomal RNA
Source: RNAcentral